GGAACAGUGUCUUCAUAGCCACUGUGUCCUCAUUGCCUGGCCUGGGACCUGGCCCUCCUUGUAAAUGUGUGUUGCCUCCUUGUUGCUUCCUCUGUGCUGUGUUUCAUUGUGAAGCAGAUGAGGCUUUCUGGAUUUAAGGCUUCCCUGCUCAGCAACCCAACACUGCGAACCUUCCCUCCAAUUGUUCAUCCAUUCCAAAGACUUGUGGAGGAGGUACCGCGCCCUGUGCCUGGCGCUGGUAAACAGAGAGCAGCCUUUGUCUCCUAUGAGACAACUUAAACACUGAGGUUUCCUGUGUCCCGGGCAGCCUUCUUUGCUCUCUGACGUUCCUGGGAAACCUGACGAGCACCAAUCACAGUCAUUACUGUGUAUGUGAUGACGGUUCCCACACAGAAUGAUUUUAAGACAAGAUGAACUUCCGCUGACUGGAAAGCAUGACGGUGUCCCCAAAACAACUCACACACACCAUUUCCAAACUUUAAUUCAUCUCUGUUCCCAAAGCACCUUCUCUUUUUCUUUUCUUUUCUUUUCUUUUCUUUCUUUCAAGGCAGGAUUUCCCUCUGUACCCCAGGGGGGAGUUCAGCGGCACGAUCUCAGCUUACUGCAACCUCCGCCUUCCAGGCUCAAGCGAUCCUCCUGCCUCAGCCUCUACAGGUAGCUGGGACCACAGGCACCAGCCACCAUGCCUGGUUAAUUUCUGUAUCUUUUAGUAGAGACGGGGUUUCCCUAUGUUUCCCAGGCUGAUCUCAAAUUCCCGAGCUCAAGCGAUCCACCCACCUCAGCCUCCCUAAAUGCUGGGAUUAUAGGUGUGAGCCACUGCGCCUGUCUUUAUGUCCCUGUCUUGACAAAUAGCUACAGCCCCUACCCACAUGCCUUAAACCAGAAACUCAGGUUCUGCCUCUAUCCUGUGCCCCAGUGUCUCACAACUCUCAGUUGCUAAGGCCUCGGGACUCACCUUGGAGGAGCCGCCUCCCCAGGGCCUGCUUUCCUUAGGCCUUUUCCUGGUGAUGUUCCUUAGAACAACUCCUGGCCCCCCACUCUGCCCAAACUUCUUUCAGGGCCCAGCUCCCGUCUCACCCACUGCUGGACUUCCCCAGCCGUACCUGAGCACCUCCCCUGGCACCACCAGAUGGGCAGCACAGUGCGGACGUUUUCAAUCCACGCAUCCAAGAGCUGCUCUUGCAGUGAGCAGGCAGGGCGCAGAGCGCCACCUCCAGGGCAGCGUGCGUCUCCUCAAUUCCAAGAUGCACCUGUUUUUCACAUUUUACUGUUUCUGAAAUCAAAACCCAGGCUCGCCAUCGGUGGCCUCCUUAACAUGGAGAAAAUGCUAGAAAGACAGAUACAUUUAAAAAUGGGCCAGGCGUGGUGGCUCACACCUGUAAUCCCAGCACUUUGGGAGAGCGAGGCAGGCGGAUCACUUGAGGUCAGGAGUUUGAGACCAGACUGGCGAACAAGGUGAAGCCCCAUCUCUACUAAAAAUAGAAAACUUAGCCACGCAUGGUGGCGCAUGCCUGUAGUCCCAGCUUCUCAGGAGGCUGAGGCAGAAGAAUCGCUUGAAACCAGGAGGCAGAAGUUGCAGUGAGCCCAGAUCAUGCCAUUGCACUCCAGUCUGGGCAACAAAGAGACACUCUGUCUCAAAAAAAAAAAGAAAAAAAA
Molecule: long non-coding RNA, 1656 nt
Filed under: Macaca fascicularis (crab-eating macaque)
Lineage: Eukaryota; Metazoa; Chordata; Mammalia; Primates; Cercopithecidae
Description: lncRNA (ENSMFAG00000050261.1)
Source: RNAcentral